AAGUGCACCCUCAGUGGAAACCUCCAGGACUUAAUAAUCUGACUCUGGCUGAGUCUUAAGCCACAGAGUGGAGCUGAACCGCUGCAUUGUUCUGAGUCCGGCUCGCUCUGCGUUGGGACGGCUGCCUACAAUCAGCUCCACGGCGCCUGAGCAGGAAGUGACUGCAGCUCCGUCUCAGUGUUUGUGUGGGAACAGGCAUGGCUGUGAGAUGCUGGUGUGUACGAGGUUUUAUGAAGGCGCCAAGGGACUUAAAUAUCUGUCUGCACCGCUACGCUUUCCUUCUUCCCUCACAAAGAGAGAAUUCACUGCUGCAUCUCAAAACCAACAGAGAGCAAACCUGGGCCACCGCUUCUUUGUUUCCUGCAGAAAAACAACUCCAAUGAAAUAUGACAGCCUUGGAUAAAAUUGUCAAGUACAUCCGAGGGAACGGUGCUGCUCCAUCGGAUCCGGGAGACGUGGGAGGGGAGGUUCUGGGGAGGGCUGGUUUCUUUGCUCAAUAACAAAUCAAUUCUCAAUUCUCUGCCUCAUUUGAAGCUGCUGGCAAACUCCUGCAAAGCUUUGAAAUCCUAUUUAGUAAUCAAGCAUGAAAAGCCGUGGAUAAUAGGCCGUUAUGAGAUGCAGUUGAAGAAAGGAAAGAUAAGCUUAUUGUGUAAUUGAAAUAUCAUUUCCAUCACACGCAUUCAGAAGCGCGGUGUUGGAUCUGAUCGUUACUCUGAUCUAAUCUGCUUGUUUUUGUGGGCAGACGUGUGAAACUUCUACUAAUGCUGGACUGAGGUGAUAAUUACUUCACAAACUUUAAAGUCGUCCACGAUAUCUGCGAUGUUCUCCUGUCUGACUCCUUCCUGUCAGCUGCUCCUUUUGGCUCCAGAGCUGUUUUCUGUUUGAAGCCGCUCAGCAUGGGCAGCAUGACAGAGAGGCGGCUUCAUUCAGUCGACACACUUCACUCAAACACUCGGCACAAAACAAACACAGUAAGUUGCAGAUGUGGCUCCGUGGGAAACUUUGAUUUGGUGUAAAAGUGGGAGGUGUUGAAGCCGCUCUAAGAUCUUCUGGAAGUUUGUUGAAGGUAUUUUCAUCCAUGUUUGAAAUCCGAGCCACAUGAGAGCGCUUCAUGUUGCUUCAGAUCUAAAAUAAGGAGAAAGCUGCAGGUUUCACCAGGAUGCCACGUUACAGCAACACUUCCACGGGUUUCACACCAGCAGCUGUGUGUUUGAGGCCCUGCACUGCAAAGGCAGGGCACUGAACCCCAACCUGCCAAUCAAAGUGAUGUUAAAGAUGAGAUGUGAAGCCUCGUCUUGUGGUUUUUCAUCAGCACUAAACAGAGCAGCUUUUCUAAGAUUUACAAACACUGAACCGAUUAGAGGCAGUUACUGAAUGUUUGGACUACAAACCCGUUUGGACUACAAACCCGUUCGGACUACAAACCCGUUCGGACUACAAACCCGUUCGGACUACAAACCCGUUUGGACUACAAACCCGUUUGGACUACAAACCCGUUUGGACUACAAACCCGUUUGGACUACAAACCCGUCCCGUCCAGAACUGAAGAAGUUUUUUGGGUGAUGGUGAAACAUCCAGAUGUUUUGAGGUUUCUACUCAUGGAGCUGGAUAAAUAUUUGCAUCACGUUUCUCAUUUCUGUUGGUGAAAAACUUCAAGAAUGAUUUUCCAAAAUUCAAAAUGAUCAUUUAAACUGUAACUUUCAUGAACAACUCAGAUUGAAAUAGUUUACGGUAUAACAUGAAAAACACACGUGUGUGUGUGUGUGUGUGUGUGUGUGUGUGUGUGUGUGUGUGCGUGUGCGUGUGCGUGUGCGUGUGCGUGUGCGUGUGCGUGUGUGUGUGCGUGUGUGUGUGUGUGAGGUUUCUGGGUCUCCUGCAGUUUCAGCCAUUUUAAAACUUAAAGCUUGUGUUAAAAUAACUGCAGUCAGAACAAACUGGGCCCACAGCAUCAUCCUGAUGAUGAAAAAACCUGAAUUAUUUUUAGUUUUCUUUGUGCUCAGAUAUCAGAUAUCAUGUCUCCGUCUCACGUUUCUCUUAUUUGAUGUCAAAUUAAACUAAAACGAGUCGACAUGAGAUUAGGAAGCCCAGCUGCUCUUAAAGCAUUUUACCCCUGAAAACAUGAUUCAUGAAUAUCUGGUGGUUCUUUGAGGUUUUUAACGACCAUUCAGUGAAUAAUAAAAGGAUUUCUGAAGCAGGAAACAGAACAUUUCCCCUUUGAGAUAAGACUUGAUGAUAAAAACUUCCUUCAGCGGUGAAUUACUCCGGCUUCUGGACGUUAAUGUUGUCAAACCUUCAGUAGAUCAGAAUGUGGGAUUGGUUUUGAUCCUGUUUUCUUUCCGUCUGAAUCCAUCCAUCCUCCUCCCACUCGGUCAUUCAGGGUCCUGGUUUCCACCUGCAGCUCACACACACCCACAAAACAGACGAGUUAUGAAAAGAGUAAAUAAUGCAGCUUGAUCCCUGCGGAUGAUCUGCAGCCUUUGGUGCCCAGCCAGCCACAGGGUUAGAUUAAAUUUAAAUUAUCCACACAGAUGAGAAUAAAGCUGCCAUAAAAUGAACAAACUACGGAGGUGAGACAGUUGUUCUGUUCUGAAGACGCUCCCAGUGUUUUGGCACUCGAUUCUCUGGAUUCUAGUAUCGGACUAUCAGGUGGAAAAACAUCCACUGGAUUGUAUUUAGGAGUAUCAGCGUAAAGGGGGCUGAAUAUAAAUGCACAUCACAGGUUACAGAUUUUGAAAGAUCAGAGAUCGUAUUCCUUCCAGUAAUGCACGGAGGUUAUGAUGUGAGACACAGGAGAUGUUUGAGGGGUAUGAAUACUUAUGACUGUAGAUGAAGAGCCGGACGCAUUCUGCUGAGCUUUAACGGAUCUCUGCUGGAUCCACAGCGAGACUUUCUCCUGCAGCUACGGUUUUGGAGUGUUAUUUUAGAUGGCAGCUAUUUUCUCUCCCACGACUUUCAUUUGAUUGAUUUGAAUCUGAAGUUCAACCAGCCUUGAAGAAGUUUGGGCCCCGAAGCUUCUAGUUUUCUGAAAAACACUCGCCAGAAAAACCUGAGAAAAGAAAAAGGAAAGAACUUGUGCCUGGAACCAGAUGUGACGUUUCUGGAUCGUCAGACGCUUCUCAUCUGGUUUCAUCCUUAGUAGCUCACACCUGGAAAAUCAAUUCCCAGGAUGUUUUUUACUUUGAAAUAUGGAAUCAAACCUUUCUUUCUUUUCUGCUCAUUUUAGGGUCAGAGGUAAA
Gambusia affinis (western mosquitofish) is the source of this 3236-nucleotide long non-coding RNA. RefSeq lists it as uncharacterized. The record is from RefSeq and is a predicted model, not a curated record. The transcript has 5 exons. NCBI's taxonomy places the organism in Eukaryota, Metazoa, Chordata, Actinopteri, Cyprinodontiformes, Poeciliidae.